UGACGACACCUCAGGGUUUGGGAGAGAGAGGAAGUCAGUUAGGGUUUUGGGUUUUGGAGGGAGAGAGAGGGAGAGAUGAAGCCGUUGGUGGGGAUGGUGGUGUCGAACAAGAUGCAGAAGUCGGUGGUGGUGGCGGUGGACAGGCUGUUCCACAACAAGCUCUACAAUCGCUACGUGAAGCGCACCUCCAAGUUCAUGGCCCAUGACGAGACCAACCAAUGCAACAUCGGCGACCGCGUCCGAUUGGAUCCAUCAAGGCCGCUGAGCAGGCAUAAGCGUUGGGUGGUUGCUGAAAUCCUCAAGAGAGCCCGAAUUUAUGAACCGCCCUCCGCUGAGUCUCGACCGCCACCUCCUUCUACUACAACCUCCUCAUCCUCCUAAGUAUUUUGACCCCAAGGGGAGGGAGAAGGGGAGAUAGAUGUGGCUUGAAGUUGGAACUACAAUGAAUUGAACUUGAACUAGUUGAAGAUGAUCAGUUUCGGGGAAAAGUCUAGGGGAUAUUUCACUCGGGACACCUGAAAAGCUGAGAAGACUGACUUCUACACAACAGCAGGUUCCAAGAACUGGUUAGCAGCAUCUGCACAAAGCUUGAUGGAAAAUGAAGAUUUCUUUUUUUUUUUUUUUUCCUUUUCUUUUGUGAAUUUUGUUCGUAUCCAGGUGUUUGAGCCGUCUUAGGCUGGGGCACUUAUUGCCCUGUGUACCGAGUUCUCUUCGAUAAUUUCUUUAAAUGCAUUGCUGUUCGUUUA
Alnus glutinosa is the source of this 746-nucleotide RNA transcript. RefSeq lists it as uncharacterized. The transcript is spliced from 4 exons. The record is from RefSeq and is a predicted model, not a curated record. NCBI's taxonomy places the organism in Eukaryota, Viridiplantae, Streptophyta, Magnoliopsida, Fagales, Betulaceae.